AGGCAGCAGCAACAACGCACCACACACUGAAAAUUGCGGACGCGCGAAGCCACUGAAGAAAAACUGACGACUGACGCGACUUUCCGCUGGUGCUCGAAAAAACGAAAGGUUCCCAUAAGCAGAGACCCCGAAGAGCGCCGAGAGAGUUGGAAACGAAGCCGAAGCGAAACCCGAAGAGUACGUGUGCUUUUUGUAUGCUUGGCGCACAGAGUUGCCAAUUCACGACAAAAGAUCGACAAAUUAGGAUGAUGCAGAAGGAGGACACGCUUUUCAUUAUCUGGUUGCCACCUAAUUUAAGUUCCACAUCAAGGAAGAAGGAAAUACGUUUCCAACG
This is a non-coding RNA of Drosophila melanogaster (fruit fly), 334 nucleotides long. NCBI's taxonomy places the organism in Eukaryota, Metazoa, Arthropoda, Insecta, Diptera, Drosophilidae. The record is from Ensembl.